This 134-nucleotide ribosomal RNA is filed under the name Phaeothecoidea eucalypti. Its description in RNAcentral is "partial 18S ribosomal RNA". It matches the Rfam family "Eukaryotic small subunit ribosomal RNA", at positions 1700 to 1831 of the family's 1831-position model. Lineage: Eukaryota; Fungi; Ascomycota; Dothideomycetes; Mycosphaerellales; Teratosphaeriaceae. The record is from RNAcentral.
AGUGAGGCGUUCGGACUGGCCCAGGGAGGUCGGCAACGACCACCCAGGGCCGGAAAGUUCGUCAAACUUGGUCAUUUAGAGGAAGUAAAAGUCGUAACAAGGUCUCCGUAGGUGAACCUGCGGAGGGAUCAUUA